GGGUUGUGAGGUUAAGCGACUAAGCGUACACGGUGGAUGCCCUGGCAGUCAGAGGCGAUGAAGGACGUGCUAAUCUGCGAAAAGCGUCGGUAAGGUGAUAUGAACCGUUACAGCCGGCGAUGUCCGAAUGGGGAAACCCAGUGCAAUUCGUUGCACUAUCGUUAACUGAAUACAUAGGUUAACGAGGCGAACCGGGGGAACUGAAACAUCUAAGUACCCCGAGGAAAAGAAAUCAACCGAGAUUCCCCCAGUAGCGGCGAGCGAACGGGGAGCAGCCCAGAGUCUGAAUCAGCUUGUGUGUUAGUGGAACGGUCUGGAAAGUCCGACGGUACAGGGUGAUAGUCCCGUACACCAAAAUGCACAGGCUGUGAACUCGAAGAGUAGGGCGGGACACGUGGUAUCCUGUCUGAAUAUGGGGGGACCAUCCUCCAAGGCUAAAUACUCCUGACUGACCGAUAGUGAACCAGUACCGUGAGGGAAAGGCGAAAAGAACCCCGGCGAGGGGAGUGAAAAAGAACCUGAAACCGUGUACGUACAAGCAGUGGGAGCACCUUCGGGUGUGACUGCGUACCUUUUGUAUAAUGGGUCAGCGACUUAUAUUCUGUAGCAAGGUUAACCGUAUAGGGGAGCCGCAGGGAAACCGAGUCUUAACUGGGCGUUAAGUUGCAGGGUAUAGACCCGAAACCCGGUGAUCUAGCCAUGGGCAGGUUGAAGGUUGGGUAACACUAACUGGAGGACCGAACCGACUAAUGUUGAAAAAUUAGCGGAUGACUUGUGGCUGGGGGUGAAAGGCCAAUCAAACCGGGAGAUAGCUGGUUCUCCCCGAAAGCUAUUUAGGUAGCGCCUCGUGAAUUCAUCUUCGGGGGUAGAGCACUGUUUCGGCUAGGGGGUCAUCCCGACUUACCAACCCGAUGCAAACUACGAAUACCGAAGAAUGUUAUCACGGGAGACACACGGCGGGUGCUAACGUCCGUCGUGAAGAGGGAAACAACCCAGACCGCCAGCUAAGGUCCCAAAGUCAUGGUUAAGUGGGAAACGAUGUGGGAAGGCACAGACAGCCAGGAUGUUGGCUUAGAAGCAGCCAUCAUUUAAAGAAAGCGUAAUAGCUCACUGGUCGAGUCGGCCUGCGCGGAAGAUGUAACGGGGCUAAACCAUGCACCGAAGCUGCGGCAGCGACACUAUGUGUUGUUGGGUAGGGGAGCGUUCUGUAAGCCUGCGAAGGUGUGCUGUGAGGCAUGCUGGAGGUAUCAGAAGUGCGAAUGCUGACAUAAGUAACGAUAAAGCGGGUGAAAAGCCCGCUCGCCGGAAGACCAAGGGUUCCUGUCCAACGUUAAUCGGGGCAGGGUGAGUCGACCCCUAAGGCGAGGCCGAAAGGCGUAGUCGAUGGGAAACAGGUUAAUAUUCCUGUACUUGGUGUUACUGCGAAGGGGGGACGGAGAAGGCUAUGUUAGCCGGGCGACGGUUGUCCCGGUUUAAGCAUGUAGGCUGAUUGUCCAGGCAAAUCCGGAUAAUCAAGGCUGAGGUGUGAUGACGAGGCACUACGGUGCUGAAGUAACAAAUGCCCUGCUUCCAGGAAAAGCCUCUAAGCAUCAGGUAACAUCAAAUCGUACCCCAAACCGACACAGGUGGUCAGGUAGAGAAUACCAAGGCGCUUGAGAGAACUCGGGUGAAGGAACUAGGCAAAAUGGUGCCGUAACUUCGGGAGAAGGCACGCUGGUGUGUAGGUGAAGUCCCUGCGGAUGGAGCUGAGACCAGUCGAAGAUACCAGCUGGCUGCAACUGUUUAUUAAAAACACAGCACUGUGCAAACACGAAAGUGGACGUAUACGGUGUGACGCCUGCCCGGUGCCGGAAGGUUAAUUGAUGGGGUUAUCCGUAAGGAGAAGCUCUUGAUCGAAGCCCCGGUAAACGGCGGCCGUAACUAUAACGGUCCUAAGGUAGCGAAAUUCCUUGUCGGGUAAGUUCCGACCUGCACGAAUGGCGUAAUGAUGGCCAGGCUGUCUCCACCCGAGACUCAGUGAAAUUGAACUCGCUGUGAAGAUGCAGUGUACCCGCGGCAAGACGGAAAGACCCCGUGAACCUUUACUAUAGCUUGACACUGAACAUUGAGCCUUGAUGUGUAGGAUAGGUGGGAGGCUUUGAAGCGUGGACGCCAGUCUGCGUGGAGCCAACCUUGAAAUACCACCCUUUAAUGUUUGAUGUUCUAACGUUGGCCCCUUACCGGGGUUGCGGACAGUGUCUGGUGGGUAGUUUGACUGGGGCGGUCUCCUCCCAAAGCGUAACGGAGGAGCACGAAGGUUAGCUAAUCCUGGUCGGACAUCAGGAGGUUAGUGCAAUGGCAUAAGCUAGCUUGACUGCGAGCGUGACGGCGCGAGCAGGUGCGAAAGCAGGUCAUAGUGAUCCGGUGGUUCUGAAUGGAAGGGCCAUCGCUCAACGGAUAAAAGGUACUCCGGGGAUAACAGGCUGAUACCGCCCAAGAGUUCAUAUCGACGGCGGUGUUUGGCACCUCGAUGUCGGCUCAUCACAUCCUGGGGCUGAAGUAGGUCCCAAGGGUAUGGCUGUUCGCCAUUUAAAGUGGUACGCGAGCUGGGUUUAGAACGUCGUGAGACAGUUCGGUCCCUAUCUGCCGUGGGCGCUGGAGAAUUGAGGGGGGCUGCUCCUAGUACGAGAGGACCGGAGUGGACGCAUCACUGGUGUUCGGGUUGUCAUGCCAAUGGCACUGCCCGGUAGCUAAAUGCGGAAGAGAUAAGUGCUGAAAGCAUCUAAGCACGAAACUUGCCCCGAGAUGAGUUCUCCCUGAGACUUUAAGUCUCCUGAAGGAACGUUAAAGACGAUGACGUUGAUAGGCCGGGUGUGUAAGCGCAGCGAUGCGUUGAGCUAACCGGUACUAAUGAACCGUGAGGCUUAACCUUACAACGCCGAAG
This 2923-nucleotide ribosomal RNA is filed under the name Klebsiella pneumoniae. RNAcentral's name for it is "23S ribosomal RNA". It matches the Rfam family "Bacterial large subunit ribosomal RNA". The record is from RNAcentral. Lineage: Bacteria; Pseudomonadati; Pseudomonadota; Gammaproteobacteria; Enterobacterales; Enterobacteriaceae.